Molecule: ribosomal RNA, 502 nt
Filed under: uncultured Glomeromycotina
Lineage: Eukaryota; Fungi; Glomeromycota
Description: partial small subunit ribosomal RNA
Rfam family: Eukaryotic small subunit ribosomal RNA
Source: RNAcentral
CCAAUAGCGUAUAUUAAAGUUGUUGCAGUUAAAAAGCUCGUAGUUGAAUUUCGGGAUUCGUCCAUUGGUCAGGCUUAACUGUCUGUACUGAUGUGUCGGAUUUCUACCUUCUGAAGAACCUUCAUGCCAUUAAUUUGGUGUGUUGGGGAAUCAGGACUGUUACUUUGAAAAAAUUAGAGUGUUUAAAGCAGGCUAACGUCUGAAUACAUUAGCAUGGAAUAAUGAAAUAGGACGGUACGGUUCUAUUUUGUUGGUUUCUAGGAUCGCCGUAAUGAUUAAUAGGGAUAGUUGGGGGCAUUAGUAUUCAAUUGUCAGAGGUGAAAUUCUUGGAUUUAUUGAAGACUAACUACUGCGAAAGCAUUUGCCGAGGAUGUUUUCAUUAAUCAAGAACGAAAGUUAGGGGAUCGAAGACGAUCAGAUACCGUCGUAGUCUUAACCAUAAACUAUGCCGACUAGGGAUUGGACGAUGUUAAUUUUUUAAUGACUCGUUCAGCACCUUACG